RNAcentral lists this ribosomal RNA (449 nucleotides) under uncultured bacterium. RNAcentral's name for it is "SSU rRNA". It matches the Rfam family "Bacterial small subunit ribosomal RNA", at positions 26 to 518 of the family's 1533-position model. The record is from RNAcentral.
AGAACGAACGCUGGCGGCAUGCCUAACACAUGCAAGUCGAACGCCUGUAGCAAUACAGGAGUGGCGCACGGGUGAGUAACGCGUGGGAACCUACCCUGGAGUGGGGGAUAACCGAGGGAAACUUCGGCUAAUACCUCAUACGACCUGAGGGUGAAAGAUUUAUCGCUCUAGGAGGGGCCCGCGUCGGAUUAGCUAGUUGGUGAGGUAACGGCCCACCAAGGCAACGAUGGGUAGCUGGUCUGAGAGGACGAUCAGCCACACUGGGACUGAGACACGGCCCAGACUCCUACGGGAGGCAGCAGUGGGGAAUCUUGCGCAAUGCGCGAAAGCGUGACGCAGCAACGCCGCGUGGAGGACGAAGGCUUUCUGAGUUGUAAACUCCUUUCAGCAGGGACGAUUGUGACGGUACCUGCAGAAGAAGCACCGGCCAACUACGUGCCAGCAGCCGC